GUAGUCUGNAACCCGGCUACAUGAAGCUGGAAUCGCUAGUAAUCGCGGAUCAGAAUGCCGCGGUGAAUACGUUCCCGGGCCUUGUACACACCGCCCGUCACACCAUGAGAGUUGGCAAUACCCAACGUACGUGAUCUAACCCGCAAGGGAGGAAGCGUCCUAAGGUAGGGUCAGCGAUUGGGGUGAAGUCGUAACAAGGUAAC
This 203-nucleotide ribosomal RNA is filed under the name uncultured bacterium. Its description in RNAcentral is "partial 16S ribosomal RNA". It matches the Rfam family "Bacterial small subunit ribosomal RNA", at positions 1300 to 1500 of the family's 1533-position model. The record is from RNAcentral.